This 820-nucleotide ribosomal RNA is filed under the name uncultured Geobacter sp. RNAcentral's name for it is "bacterial SSU rRNA". It matches the Rfam family "Bacterial small subunit ribosomal RNA", at positions 36 to 839 of the family's 1533-position model. The record is from RNAcentral. Lineage: Bacteria; Pseudomonadati; Thermodesulfobacteriota; Desulfuromonadia; Geobacterales; Geobacteraceae.
CUGGCGGUGCUACCAUGCAAGUCGAACGUGAUCCGCCCUUCGGGGUGGUGAAAGUGGCGCACGGGUGAGUAACGCGUGGAUAAUCUGCCCGAGGAUUUGGGAUAACAUCUCGAAAGGGGUGCUAAUACCGAAUAAGCCCACGGGGUCUACGGAUCUUGCGGGAAAAGGGGGGGACCUUCGGGCCUCCUGUCCUUGGAUGAGUCUGCGUACCAUUAGCUAGUUGGUGGGGUAAUGGCCUACCAAGGCGACGAUGGUUAGCUGGUCUGAGAGGAUGAUCAGCCACACUGGAACUGAGACACGGUCCAGACUCCUACGGGAGGCAGCAGUGGGGAAUUUUGCGCAAUGGGGGAAACCCUGACGCAGCAACGCCGCGUGGGUGAUGAAGGCCUUCGGGUCGUAAAGCUCUGUCUGGAGGGAAGAAAUGAUUGGGAGCUAAUACCUCUUGAUCUUGACGGUACCUCUGAAGGAAGCACCGGCUAACUCCGUGCCAGCAGCCGCGGUAAUACGGAGGGUGCAAGCGUUGUUCGGAAUUAUUGGGCGUAAAGCGCGUGUAGGCGGUCUUUUAAGUCUGAUGUGAAAGCCCCGGGCUCAACCUGGGAAGUGCAUUGGAAACUGGGAGGCUUGAGUACGGGAGAGGAGAGUGGAAUUCCUAGUGUAGGAGUGAAAUCCGUAGAUAUUAGGAGGAACACCGGUGGCGAAGGCGGCUCUCUGGACCGAUACUGACGCUGAGACGCGAAAGCGUGGGUAGCAAACAGGAUUAGAUACCCUGGUAGUCCACGCCGUAAACGAUGAGUACUAAGGUGUUGCGGGUAUUGACCCC